AGGGUUUGAUCCUGGCUCAGGACGAACGCUGGCGACGUGCUUAACACAUGCAAGUCGAACGGGGUGUUUAUUUCGGUAAACACCAAGUGGCGAACGGGUGAGUAACGCGUAAGCAAUCUACCUUCAAGAUGGGGACAACACUUCGAAAGGGGUGCUAAUACCGCAUAAGCGCACAGUACCGCAUGGUACAGUGUGAAAAACUCCGGUGGUGUGAGAUGGACCCGCGUCUGAUUAGCUAGUUGGCAGGGCAACGGCCUACCAAGGCGACGAUCAGUAGCCGACCUGAGAGGGUGACCGGCCACAUUGGGACUGAGACACGGCCCAA
RNAcentral lists this ribosomal RNA (325 nucleotides) under uncultured bacterium. RNAcentral's name for it is "bacterial SSU rRNA". It matches the Rfam family "Bacterial small subunit ribosomal RNA", at positions 8 to 334 of the family's 1533-position model. The record is from RNAcentral.